This 500-nucleotide ribosomal RNA is filed under the name uncultured Glomeromycotina. Its description in RNAcentral is "partial small subunit ribosomal RNA". It matches the Rfam family "Eukaryotic small subunit ribosomal RNA", at positions 591 to 1092 of the family's 1831-position model. The record is from RNAcentral. Lineage: Eukaryota; Fungi; Glomeromycota.
CCAAUAGCGUAUAUUAAAGUUGUUGCAGUUAAAAAGCUCGUAGUUGAAUUUCGGGGUCAGUAGGUUGGUCGUGCCAAUGGUAUGCACUGACCUCACUGAUUCCUCCUUCUUGAUGAACCUUAAUGCCACUAAUUUGGUGUUUUGGGGAAUCUGGACUGUUACUUUGAAAAAAUUAGAGUUUUUAAAGUAAGCUAACGCUUGAAUACAUUAGAAUGGAAUCAUGAAAAAGGACGUUCGGUCUUAUUUUGUUGGUUUCUAAGAUUGACGUAAUGAUUAAUAGGAAUAGUUGGGGGCAUUAGUAUUCAAUUGUCAGAGGUGAAAUUCUUGGAUUUAUUGAAGACUAACUACUGCGAAAGCAUUUGCCAAGGAUGUUUUCAUUAAUCAAGAACGAAAGUUAGGGGAUCGAAGACGAUCAGAUACCGUCGUAGUCUUAACCAUAAACUAUGCCGACUAGGGAUCGGAUGAUGUUAAUUUUUUAAUGACUCAUUCGGCGCCUUACG